This is a non-coding RNA of Cutaneotrichosporon sp. HIS471, 81 nucleotides long. The record is from the annotation of a GenBank genome assembly. NCBI's taxonomy places the organism in Eukaryota, Fungi, Basidiomycota, Tremellomycetes, Trichosporonales, Trichosporonaceae.
GGAAAGACACGCUAGCGGUGAGGCAGUUCAGUUGCUAUCUGGAUGAAGGGAUUCUUAUAGGUUCGACUCCUAUUCUUUCCG